Molecule: ribosomal RNA, 538 nt
Filed under: uncultured bacterium
Lineage: Bacteria
Description: bacterial SSU rRNA
Rfam family: Bacterial small subunit ribosomal RNA
Source: RNAcentral
AAUAGAUACCCCGGUAGUCCACGCCGUAAACGAUGAGUGCUAAGUGUUAGAGGGUUUCCGCCCUUUAGUGCUGCAGCUAACGCAUUAAGCACUCCGCCUGGGGAGUACGACCGCAAGGUUGAAACUCAAAGGAAUUGACGGGGGCCCGCACAAGCGGUGGAGCAUGUGGUUUAAUUCGAAGCAACGCGAAGAACCUUACCAGGUCUUGACAUCCCCUUGACCUCCCUAAGAGAUAGGGAUUUCCCUUCGGGGACAAGGGUGACAGGUGGUGCAUGGUUGUCGUCAGCUCGUGUCGUGAGAUGUUGGGUUAAGUCCCGCAACGAGCGCAACCCUUGAGAUUAGUUGCCAGCAUUUAGUUGGGCACUCUAAUCUGACUGCCGGUGACAAACCGGAGGAAGGUGGGGAUGACGUCAAAUCAUCAUGCCCCUUAUGACCUGGGCUACACACGUGCUACAAUGGAUGGUACAAAGGGCAGCGAAGCCGCGAGGCUUAGCCAAUCCCAUAAAACCAUUCUCAAGUUCGGAUUGCAGGCUGCAAC